RNAcentral lists this transfer RNA (72 nucleotides) under Cyphellophora europaea CBS 101466. Its description in RNAcentral is "tRNA-Ala (TGC) (tRNA-Ala-TGC-1-1)". It matches the Rfam family "tRNA". From Rfam's summary of the family: Transfer RNA (tRNA) molecules are approximately 80 nucleotides in length. Lineage: Eukaryota; Fungi; Ascomycota; Eurotiomycetes; Chaetothyriales; Cyphellophoraceae. The record is from RNAcentral.
GGGCGCUUGGUCUAGGGGUAUGAUUUUCGCUUUGCAUGUGAACGGUCGCGGGUUCAAUUCCCGCAGUGUCCA